Molecule: ribosomal RNA, 497 nt
Filed under: uncultured bacterium
Lineage: Bacteria
Description: partial 16S ribosomal RNA
Rfam family: Bacterial small subunit ribosomal RNA
Source: RNAcentral
GACGAACGCUGGCGGCGUGCCUAAUACAUGCAAGUUGAGCGAUGAAGAUUGGUGCUUGCCCCAAUUUGAAGAGCAGCGAACGGGUGAGUAACGCGUGGGGAAUCUGCCUUUGAGCGGGGGACAACAUUUGGAAACGAAUGCUAAUACCGCAUAAUAACUUUAAACAUAAGUUUUAAGUUUGAAAGAUGCAAUUGCAUCACUCAAAGAUGAUCCCGCGUUGUAUUAGCUAGUUGGUGAGGUAAAGGCUCACCAAGGCGAUGAUACAUAGCCGACCUGAGAGGGUGAUCGGCCACAUUGGGACUGAGACACGGCCCAAACUCCUACGGGAGGCAGCAGUAGGGAAUCUUCGGCAAUGGACGAAAGUCUGACCGAGCAACGCCGCGUGAGUGAAGAAGGGUGUCGGAUCGUAAAACUCUGUUGGUAGAGAAGAACGUUGGUGAGAGUGGAAAGCUCAUCAAGUGACGGUAACUACCCAGAAAGGGACGGCUAACUACGUG